Long non-coding RNA from Magallana angulata, 587 nucleotides. RefSeq lists it as uncharacterized. The record is from RefSeq and is a predicted model, not a curated record. The transcript has 3 exons. Lineage: Eukaryota; Metazoa; Mollusca; Bivalvia; Ostreida; Ostreidae.
GGUGGAAGGCUACAUCGUCAAAACAUGUCUGACUUCCGUUCGAAACGCCAUUGUGUUCCGGAUUGAUAACAUUAUGUCGUGGUACAAAAUAGCUAUACACCGUUUAAUUGAACUCUUCUAACUAAGGAGGUGAGAUAGGAAUGAAAUCACCGAAACGCUUAGAAAAUAUGUCAAUUUUCUUCCUGUUUAAAGCUUUUAACUAACAUUGAUUAUCAGCUGUUUUGUACGGAAAACGUGGAAUCUAAAUAAUAUACCGUUUCCCUGCUCUGCUGCUAUUGGCAACACAUUUUUGUCAUGUCAUCUGCAACAGACGAUCAUACAUAUGUGGCGGAUUAUCGAUAUAGAUACAACUAGGUAGCAAUAGCAGUGGAAGCCCGGAUUUGCAAGCCAAAUGAGGGAAAGACAGAAUUCUGAAAAGGAGCAUGUUUUUCAUUUCCACACAUGCAUGUGUAUCACUAUGGACAUCUAAUGUUUUUGUGGGAUUUUGUGCAGCAGUUUGCCUUAAAAGAAUUUUUUUAUAUUUUAGUUUCAUAUUUAUGUGGAUUCUAAUAAAAAUCAUACAAACUUCAUUCAUGAUUUUUUUGUUU